CUCAGCCAGAAGGAAGGGAGGACGGACCCCUGGGCUUGUGCCCAGACCUCUGAGGAAGAGGCACCUGCCUGUGAGGGCCGGGUCUCUGGAGCUGGCGUGUGGGGUGCGUAGCGUAUGGUGAAGCUUGAAGUACUAGAGACAUGGCAAGCUGGAUUCAGCUGCUGCUCCGGGAUGGGCCUGCUGCGGGGUGAGGGGGGAAGGUUGGGGUGCCUCUUGCAGGGAACACACGGACACAAACGGGAAGGCAGGCGGUCACCCUUCCUCCUCCAGCCUGCAGCCUUCCCUCUAGUGGCUCUGGUCACAAGGAUCCAACUGGGAACAGCUGGCCAAGCAGAGACGGGACUCACAGGGCCCGAGGCCACCUUCACAAAGCGGUGUCCAGAGGACGGGGCUGGGGCUGAGAAGCCAGAAAUUUCAAGUAUUCGUCACCGCAAGGUGGGGAAGUUCUGGUCUUCCAGCCCCGGCUUUACUGAAAAGAGCAGUGCCGAGCACACGGGAGAUCUAAUAUCGUCUGGCCUCUGCUGUGGUUGAUUCCUGAGAGUGCACAUGGGCAGGCCUUCCCGGACUUACUCUGGCUUGUCUUGAAAAGUUCCCGACGUUCCCAGGCUCUACAGCUGCAAGGAAUUUGUAUAACCGUAAUGAUGAAAACAACAGUAAUGAAGAAAUAUUUAGAAAAUGAAUGAAGAAAAGGAAGGAAGGAAGGAAGAAAGGAGGGAGCGAGGGAAGAAAGAAAGAAAGAAAUGAAGGGAGGAAAGAAGGAAAGAAGGAAGGAAGGGAAGAAACAAGAAAGAGAAAGGCAGCAAACUCCAGCAUUCAAGGAUAUGCGUUAAAAAAUUGCAAAGCUUUUUUUUUUUUUUUGCAGCGACAAAAGUACAGUACUGGUAAUCGUUGAAUGAUACACACAGGUCCAUAUACCGUAAUGUUCUGCAACUAUUAAAAAGAGUAAAUUACAAAAAGA
Molecule: long non-coding RNA, 958 nt
Organism: Felis catus (domestic cat)
Lineage: Eukaryota; Metazoa; Chordata; Mammalia; Carnivora; Felidae
Exons: 2
Source: RefSeq, a predicted model, not a curated record